Molecule: ribosomal RNA, 440 nt
Filed under: uncultured bacterium
Lineage: Bacteria
Description: partial 16S ribosomal RNA
Rfam family: Bacterial small subunit ribosomal RNA
Source: RNAcentral
CCUACGGGAGGCAGCAGUGGGGAAUAUUGCACAAUGGGGGAAACCCUGAUGCAGCGACGCCGCGUGAGUGAAGAAGUAAUUCGUUAUGUAAAGCUCUAUCAGCAGGGAAGCAAAUGACGGUACCUGAGUCAGAAGCCCCGGCUAACUACGUGCCAGCAGCCGCGGUAAUACGUAGGGGGCAAGCGUUAUCCGGAUUUACUGGGUGUAAAGGGAGCGUAGACGGCAGUGCAAGUCUGGAGUGAAAGGCGGGGGCUCAACCCCCGGACUGCUCUGGAAACUGUACGGCUGGAGUGCAGGAGAGGUAAGUGGAAUUGCUAGUGUAGCGGUGAAAUGCGUAGAUAUUAGGAGGAACACCAGUGGCGAAGGCGGCUUACUGGACUGUAACUGACGUUGAGGCUCGAAAGCGUGGGGAGCAAACAGGAUUAGAUACCCCAGUAGUC